This 75-nucleotide transfer RNA is filed under the name Bacteroidetes bacterium SW_9_63_38. RNAcentral describes it as "tRNA-Arg". It matches the Rfam family "tRNA". Rfam says of the family: Transfer RNA (tRNA) molecules are approximately 80 nucleotides in length. Their secondary structure includes four short double-helical elements and three loops (D, anti-codon, and T loops). The record is from RNAcentral. Lineage: Bacteria; Pseudomonadati; Bacteroidota.
GAGCUCGUAGCUCAGCCUAGACAGAGCAUCGGCCUUCGGAGCCGAAUAUCGGGGGCUCGAAUCUUCCCGAGCCCG